Molecule: ribosomal RNA, 292 nt
Filed under: uncultured bacterium
Lineage: Bacteria
Description: partial 16S ribosomal RNA
Rfam family: Archaeal small subunit ribosomal RNA
Source: RNAcentral
GUGCCAGCAGCCGCGGUACUACCGGCAGCCCGAGUGAUGGCCGAUCUUAUUGGGCCUAAAGCGUCCGUAGCUGGCUGCGCAAGUCCGUCGGGAAAUCCAGUAGCUCAACUACUGGGCGUCCGGCGGAAACUACAAGGCUUGGGACCGGAAGGCUCGAGGGGUACGUUCGGGGUAGGAGUGAAAUCCCAUAAUCCCGCACGGACCACCGAUGGCGAAAGCACUUCGAGAAAACGGAUCCGACAGUGAGGGACGAAAGCCAGGGUCUCCAACCGGAUUAGAUACCCGAGUAGCC